Molecule: ribosomal RNA, 497 nt
Filed under: uncultured bacterium
Lineage: Bacteria
Description: partial 16S ribosomal RNA
Rfam family: Bacterial small subunit ribosomal RNA
Source: RNAcentral
GACGAACGCUGGCGGCGUGCCUAAUACAUGCAAGUUGAGCGCUGAAGGUUGGUACUUGUACCGACUGGAUGAGCAGCGAACGGGUGAGUAACGCGUGGGGAAUCUGCCUUUGAGCGGGGGACAACAUUUGGAAACGAAUGCUAAUACCGCAUAAAAACUUUAAACACAAGUUUUAAGUUUGAAAGAUGCAAUUGCAUCACUCAAAGAUGAUCCCGCGUUGUAUUAGCUAGUUGGUGAGGUAAAGGCUCACCAAGGCGAUGAUACAUAGCCGACCUGAGAGGGGGAUCGGCCACAGUGGGACUGAGACACGGCCCAAACUCCUACGGGAGGCAGCAGUAGGGAAUCUUCGGCAAUGGACGAAAGUCUGACCGAGCAACGCCGCGUGAGUGAAGAAGGUUUUCGGAUCGUAAAACUCUGUUGGUAGAGAAGAACGUUGGUGAGAGUGGAAAGCUCAUCAAGUGACGGUAACUACCCAGAAAGGGACGGCUAACUACGUG